Molecule: ribosomal RNA, 497 nt
Filed under: uncultured bacterium
Lineage: Bacteria
Description: partial 16S ribosomal RNA
Rfam family: Bacterial small subunit ribosomal RNA
Source: RNAcentral
GAUGAACGCUGGCGGCGUGCCUAAUACAUGCAAGUCGAGCGAACAGAUGAGGAGCUUGCUCCUCUGACGUUAGCGGCGGACGGGUGAGUAACACGUGGAUAACCUACCUAUAAGACUGGGAUAACUUCGGGAAACCGGAGCUAAUACCGGAUAAUAUAUUGAACCGCAUGGUUCAAUAGUGAAAGACGGUUUUGCUGUCACUUAUAGAUGGAUCCGCGCCGCAUUAGCUAGUUGGUAAGGUAACGGCUUACCAAGGCAACGACGCGUAGCCGACCUGAGCGGGAGAUCGGGCAGCCGGGAAGUGAGACUGGGUCCAGACUCCUACGGGAGGCAGCAGUAGGGAAUCUUCCGCGAUGGGCGAAUGCCUGACGGAGCAACGCCGCGUGAGUGAUGAAGGUCCUCGGAUCGUAAAACUCUGUUAUUAGUGAAGAACAAAUGUGUAAGUAACUAUGCACGUCUUGACGGUACCUAGUCAGAAAGCCACGGCUAACUACGUG